AUAAACAUUACUUUAAUUUUUCAUAUGCAGUCCUUUCCUGCUUCUAGCCAUCCCUGUUGCAACUUGGUAAAGAUGACCUACAAAGGGACAGUACUCCUGAGCCUGAAGGAAUAUAGGAAGGGAGACAUCAACCUGAGACGCACCUACCAUAGACAGUGGAACAUAUACGACUGCUUAAAUAAGGAGUAACUCUCUCUUGUAACUUUAAGAGGACCUGUGAGCUCAAAACCCAAAUCUGACAACUUCCUACACGCAUGAA
RNAcentral lists this long non-coding RNA (259 nucleotides) under Coturnix japonica (Japanese quail). RNAcentral's name for it is "lncRNA (ENSCJPG00005010368.1)". The record is from RNAcentral. Lineage: Eukaryota; Metazoa; Chordata; Aves; Galliformes; Phasianidae.